Molecule: transfer RNA, 72 nt
Filed under: Camelus bactrianus (Bactrian camel)
Lineage: Eukaryota; Metazoa; Chordata; Mammalia; Artiodactyla; Camelidae
Also listed under: 1 other name
Rfam family: tRNA
About the family: Transfer RNA (tRNA) molecules are approximately 80 nucleotides in length. Their secondary structure includes four short double-helical elements and three loops (D, anti-codon, and T loops). Further hydrogen bonds mediate the characteristic L-shaped molecular structure. tRNAs have two regions of fundamental functional importance: the anti-codon, which is responsible for specific mRNA codon recognition, and the 3' end, to which the tRNAs corresponding amino acid is attached (by aminoacyl-tRNA synthetases). tRNAs cope with the degeneracy of the genetic code in two manners: having more than one tRNA (with a specific anti-codon) for a particular amino acid; and 'wobble' base-pairing, i.e. permitting non-standard base-pairing at the 3rd anti-codon position.
Source: Rfam by way of RNAcentral
GAGGGUAUAGCUCAGUGGUAGAGCACAUGCUUAGCAUGCACCAGGUCCUGAGUUCCAUCCCCAGUACCUCCA